UCCUCCUAUUCUUACAGUGUGGAACUCCAGAGUAGUAAGUUUUUUCUUCAUAUUUGUUCAAAUUUGGCAAAGAAAGUGCAUAGAAAAUAAUCAAAAUUUCUUCUGAAUACAGUAUUGAUCAGCCUCAUCAGAGAUACGAAGAGGCAAUGGAUAGUUAACUGCAGAGUAAGUACCUUGUACACACUUGUAUUUUCCGACCAGUGAAGCUUGAUGUUAUGGUCUGAUGCCAUUUUUUACACUUGUACAUGUGAACAUAAAUCACAUAUGUAUUUUACAUCAUGGAUUUAUAUUCAUGUCAUUCAAUCUGCUAGAGCCAAUUUUUAGUUGCAAAACAGGCCUGAGAUAAUGUCCUAUUUUAUGUGAGUUUGAAUAGGGAACAUGAAGUUGACUAGCACACAAUUACUAGAGUUUAAAGUGUAUUGUCAGGUCUAUGCUUCUCUCGGUGUUAGUUUUUUUGUUAGCUAAAGCUUGCCAUUCUGAUGGAACUUUGUACGGCACAUAUAUUUUGAGUAAAUUACUUGAAUUACAGACUCAAUGUACAUACUAUACCUCACUUACCACUACGAGCUACUAUUUAGGGAGAAUUUGUGUUGCUGAAAUUCCACGUGUAAAGACAUGUUUCGUAGAUCUACAUGUCUAGAUUCUCUUUGUUUUUAAAAAGUGCAGUUUUAUGUUGCACUUCUUUAUUGAAUCCAGGCCUGCAUAGCAUACCCCGAAAGUCUUAAAUCUGCAGCUAUGUGGAAUUGGCUCUUAAUUUCGUAGCUCUGCAAUUUUUGUACUUAAACAAGUACUCCCUCCUUAAACUAAUAUAAGAGCAUUUAGAUUAGUACUUUAGUGAUCUAAACACACUUAUAUUAGUUUACAGAGGGAGGAGUUUGGUAAUGCUUUGUACUUUGGGGAUGGGGACACAUUUCACAUGAUACAUGUAGGGAUCCAAGUUACGGUCCCGCUAGAACCUGCUUUAUUUCCUUUCAUCACGCUAAUCCUUUGUUAAGAAAGUUUGAUCUUAACAUUUUCCUUUUAGGCUCUGUUUUAGGGUGUUCUCCUUUUUGGGAAUAUGCAAACUAGGCUGCCCAAGCAGUUUGGGUAUAGAUGGGACCUUGGAAAGGGUGAUUCAAUGUUUUGGGAGGAUAAAUGGAUAACUAACUAUCAUUUAUGCACCACUUAUUUGAAUCUUUAUAAUAUCUGUAAUGAGAAGAACCAUUCAACUUGUCUAUGAUGAACAAUUUCUCUUUGGAUAAUGGUUUCUGCUGUUGGUUCACAUUUCUCUUUGGAUAAUGAUCCCCCCAGGAGGAUGUUGCAUUCUGCUGGGGUGUAUAUUGUGCAAUUUAUUUAGAAGAAAUAGUUUGGCUUGUCGUUUAUAACCCAUCUGCUCUACAGGUCAUGCUGUUUUCUCCCAUUGCCGAGGCACAGCUGAGAGGAGUUUCGAUGUUCCAAUGCUGGCAAGAUUUAAGUUGAAGGCUGCGGCUACGAGCUUGUGGGCUGAUUCGCAAUGCGUUCCAGUUUGAUCAAAUUCUCCAAAAGUUGCACUGAUGAGCCAAUGCAUUGCUGAGUGAAUCUUUUUGUAAUUUUCUGUUGCUUAGGUCUACUUACUGAAUCAGUGAAUCUUAUUGAUUCAUGUUGCUCAUUACUUCCUUGUAAAAAAUUAACA
This 1651-nucleotide long non-coding RNA is filed under the name Triticum aestivum (bread wheat). RNAcentral's name for it is "long non-coding RNA (TAES_LNC014385)". The record is from RNAcentral. Lineage: Eukaryota; Viridiplantae; Streptophyta; Magnoliopsida; Poales; Poaceae.